CUUCACCGAGCCCAGCAGCACGGGCCGGUUCGCGGGCCGAUCGCUGCCGUAGGUGGCCAUGAUCGCCUGCGCCUC
RNAcentral lists this antisense RNA (75 nucleotides) under Allokutzneria albata. Its description in RNAcentral is "Kibdelosporangium albatum ASpks TB sRNA". It matches the Rfam family "ASpks TB sRNA". The record is from Rfam by way of RNAcentral. Lineage: Bacteria; Bacillati; Actinomycetota; Actinomycetes; Pseudonocardiales; Pseudonocardiaceae.